CAGCCUGGCUAGCUGGGAGGCAGUGCAGUAGUGAGAGGCAUGGCAGCAGAACUUGCGCGGUGUCGGUGAGGGGUAGCUUUGUGGUUGUGCACCGUUAUUCAUGGUCGAAACGCUAAGACGAAUAAAGCAUCGUGGCUAGUGGUUCAACUUUGAUUCCGCCAGUACUUUUCGACUUCAGUGACCAUGGGUUGCAAGGAGAAAUACAGCGCGUUGAAGAAGCGGAGAGCCAUUGCCAAGGGUGUCUACUGCCUCCUCCUAUGGUCAAGAGAAGAGAAUCUGUGCCGGGAACGAGGAACGUAGUUGCGGCUG
Molecule: long non-coding RNA, 309 nt
Organism: Scylla paramamosain (green mud crab)
Lineage: Eukaryota; Metazoa; Arthropoda; Malacostraca; Decapoda; Portunidae
Exons: 3
Source: RefSeq, a predicted model, not a curated record